UUUUGUUACAAAUUUGAAUUGCCUAUAUCUUUACCAUUUUUCUUUUGGAAUUCUGGAGUUUUUUCCUAUCUUUCAUAAUUAUUUAUAUAUUAAGGAUAUACUAAGCCCUUUGUUGGAUAUGUUGCAAAUAUUUAUUGCCAAUUCAUCAGGUGUCUUUCACUUUGCUAAUGGUGCUUUAUUCCCUGAACUGUGAGCAUGUCUGGCGUGUGAGAAACAGUUCUUUUCUAAUUCAGUUCUUCUUGGGUGCCUGGAUGUCUCAGGCAGCUAAGCCUCUGCCUUCACUCAGGACAUGAUCCCAAGGUCCUGGGAUGAGUCCAGCACUGGGCUGUCUGCUCAGUGGAGAGUCUGUUUCUUCCUCUCCUCUGCCCCACCCCCUGCUCGUGAGCUUGCGCUCUCUCUCUCUCUCUCUCUCUAAUAAAUAGAAUCUUUUAAAAAAUAAUUCAGUUCUUGUCUACAAGGAGCUCACAGUUUCAUAAAUAACUUAAAAUAUAGGGACGCCUGGGUGGCUCAGCGGUUGAGCAUCUGCCUUUGGCUCAGGUCAUGAUCCCAGGGUGCCGGGAUCGAGUCCCACAUUGGGCUCCCUGCAUGGAGCCUGCUUCUCCCUCUGCCUGUGUCUCUGCCUUCUCUCUGUGUCUCAUGAAUAAAUAAAUAAAAUCUAAAAAAAAAAAGUUAAAAUAUAGACAAGUACAAGGUAGUAAUUGAUAAGUGUCAAAAAAAAAAAAGAUAAAGGGAGUGAACUGCAAUAUACAGGAGAUUUGUGAUCAGAACUAGGUUUGUAUCCCACCUUCCCCUGACCUAAGAACUCAGUGUCUUCAUCUAUAAAAUUAGAAAAAAUAGUAUCACCCUUCAUAUCAAGAGUAUUAAACAGAAUAAUAUGUAUGUAAGUACCUACACUCACAUAUUGUCAGGGGUAUAUAAGAAGUUCAAAAUAUAUUAUUUAAAUGAAUUAUCUACAGACAACAAUUGCUAUUCAUAUCAGAGAAGGGAGAGAUCACAAAAGGUAUACCAUUAAUUAUAUAUCUGUAUAACUGGGCCAUAUUUGUAUGAAAUAUAGUAUGGAAUAUUUUCUUCCUCUGACUAUAAUUAAGGCAAAUUGAAUAUGCUUAAACUUUUGUUACAAAUCGCUUUACCCAUUUAUGCAUUGCUUGGUGGAGCUGUCUAUUUUAUCUGCAUGACAGAACAAAAUAAACUAAGUAAGUCCUUUAUAUUGAAAGGUUUAAAAGAUCUAUUUCCCAGUAAGGCAAUUUGGCUUAUACUUCCCUAACAGGAAACAUUUCCCUCUAUUAAAACAUCAUGGUGCAUACAUGUAUAUAAAUACACACAUACUCAUGAAAUAUGUAUGUAUAUACACAUUUUAACAUAUGUUUGAGGAUAGAAAGACACCUAGAUAUCACAAAGCGCAAUUAAUUAUGUAGACUAAUCAUCAUUUACUUAACUACUACUAGAAGAUGUGAUUGGGAAAAAACAUGAAAUCAUGCAAUAUAACUUAAGAAUUAUAUUCUUGUACUGCGAAAGCUUGACAAAUCCCAAAAUGUGUUUUCAAUGUACAAUAGUCAACUUUAUCAUCACAUAUGGUAUUAAAAUAAAAAUACGGAGUGCCUCUAUUAUUUGAGGAAUGGUUUCAAAUUUAUCAAUGUCAGAGUCGAAAAUAUUUAGGUUACAUUCAGAUGUAUGGUUUAAGAUACAUUUAUGUUUAGACAGAAAAAUGGUAUACUUUCCAUAAUUCAUUAUAUAUUUUAGUCUCACACAAGGUCAGAGAUAAAGUACACAUCUUGGACCACCAAUUUCAAUUAUUAAGAGAAAAUCAAAUGCAAAAAUGCGAAAACAAAAACAUAAAACAACUUUUUUUAUUUUUUUAUAUUUUUAAAACAACUUUUAAUAAAAACGCAAUGAAUUAAAUAAUUUAAGCACUUGCCACCUUUUCCUUAUAUGGUAUUUUUCUUAUCCUCUAAAUAUUUUCAUGAUCCAAUUAGUAUUUAUUAAUUUUAAAAUAUAAGCUAGGAACCAUGUUAAAUUUGGGAAUAUAAAAAUGAGGAACAAUCAACAGCACCUACUCUCAAGACACUCACAACAAAGCCCUAAGGACACUGCCCACUCCUGAAGAGAAGGCAAGCAAACAACCCCCGGAGUAGACAGCGCAUCUGCGGUUUGCCAAAGGUGCACACAGAGAGAUUGUUCAUUCUCCCUGCAUCUGUGAGAGGUGGAGUUCACAGAAAGGACUCUCUGGGGAUAAACAAGUCCAUGGUUGCCAUUACCUUCCCCCUCUCCUCAGCACAGGAGCAGAAACACCUGCUGAGGGCAGCUUACCUGAACGCUAGCCAGUGUUCCUCCAAAUCUCAUGCCUCUGUGCUCGGGUGUGACUGGCCCUCUCAGCCAAACCUGCAUCCAGCCCAAUGCAGUGAGAGCCUCCCCAAGAAGACCAGCACACGUCCUCACCACACCAGGCCUCUAAAGUUUGGAAUUUUAAAAGUCAGCAGGCCUGGCUGGGAUACAGCCCAAAGUGCACUGCACUGCUUCAGGUAGGCAAACAACCCAGAGGCAAGUGGCUUAAAAACAGAGAACAGAAAAGUGCCUGGGAUGCAAAAGGGGAAACUACUCACUCUUCUGGAAGGGCUACUCUGAGAGCAGCAAGCACUGAGUCCCCUCUCCAGGGACAAAGGUCCUGGCUGGUGCCAUUUCCCUCCUCUGCCUCUCAGCUCAGCAUAAACCAACUUCAGUAAACAGCACAGCACCAACAAUAGUUGCCUAACCUGCUUACAUCAAGUUCUGCCCCCCUGCUGACACUGCUUUCUUGGACAAGUAUGCCUAAGGACCAGUGCAGCAGGCCCCUUCCCCAGAAGACCAGCACAAACCCCCACAAGUACCACAUCUACCAGUCACAGAGUCCUGCAAGGCUUCAGUUCCAGAAGUGGCAUCAGGUUUCAUUUAACAAGCAGACCAGAGCAUACCUAGUUAAAACUUGCCACAGUCUGGCCAAGGUCCCAACACUGCCCACUGCAUGCAAGCAGAACCUUUGCAGAUGACUGACCUGAGGGACAGAGCAGCCAAAACACAGCGGCAGAGUACAUGCAGCACACACCAGAGACACUCCCCAAAUAACCAGGCCUUCAACCCUAUAUGACCUCUUCUUCAUAAAGCCAUUAUUCUCAGGACCAGAAACCGUAACAGGCUUUUCUAACACACAGAAGACAGAGACCUAGACAAAAUGCCAAGAUGGAGGAAUUCUUUCCAAAAGAAGGAACAAGAAAAGGGCACAGCCAAACAUCUAAUUGAAACUGAUAUAAGUAAUAUUCCUGACAAAGAAUUUAAAGCAACAUUACUAAGGAUACUGGCUGGGCUUGAGAAAAACAUGGAAGACAUCAGAGAGACCCUUACUGCAGAGACAAAAGAGUUAAAAAACAAACAAAUGAAAAAUGAAAAAAUUGAGAUUCAAAGCAGACUGGAUAUAAUGAACACAAGGAUGGAAGAAGCAGAGGAAUCAGUAAGUGAGCAGAAGACAGAAUAAUGGAAAAUAAUGAGGCUGAACAAAAGAGAGAAAGAAUGAUCGAUCACAGAGUAGACUUAUUGAACUUGGCAACUCCAUCAAACAUAGUAACAUUAAUAUAAUAGGAGUCCCCAAAGAAGAAAGAAGAGGAAAAAAGAGAGGCAGAAGGUUUAUUGGAAGAAACAAUAGUUGAAAGCUUCCCUAAUCCAGAGAAGGAAAUAGACAUUUAAAUCCAGGAGGCACAGAGAACUCCCAUCAAAAUCAACAAAAGCAGGCCAAAACCAAGAUAUACCGUGGUUAAAUUUGCAAAAUACAGUAAUUAAGAAAAAAAAUCCUAAAACCAGCAAAACAAAAGAAAUCCCUAACUUACAAGGGAAGACCCAUAAGGCUAGCUGCAGAUCUCUCUACAUAAAUCUGGCAAGCCAAAAUGGAGUGCAUGAUACAUUCAAUGUGUGGAAUGGAAAAAAUCUACAGCCAAGAAUACUCUAUCCAGAAAGACUAUCAUUGAGAAUAGAAGGAGAGGUAAAGAGUUUCCCAGACAAAAACUAAAGGAGCUCAUCACCACUACACCAGCCCUGUAAGAAAUAUUAAAGGGAACUCUGUGAGUGGGAAGGAAAGACCAAAAGUGACAAAGACUAGAAAGGAAUAGAGAAAAUCUCCAGAAAUAACAAAAUGAUUAAUAAAAUGGCACAAAAUACAUAUCUACGGAUAAUUACUUUGAAUGUAAAUAGACUAAACUCUCCAAUCAAAAGACAUAGGAUGUCCGAAUGGAUAAAAAACAAGACUCAUCUAUAUGCUGCCUACAAAAGACUCAUUUUAGGCCUAAAGACACCUCUAGAUUUAAAGUGAGGGGAUGGAGAAAUAUCUAUCAUGCAAAUAGAAGUCAAAAGAAAGCUGGAAUAGCAAUACUUAUAUCAAACAAAUUAGAUUUUAAAUCAAAGUCAGUAACAAAAGAUGAAGGGGACUAUCCAACAAGAGGAUAUAAUCAAAGUAAAUAUUUAUGCCCCCAACAUGGGAGUACCCAAAUACAUAAAACAAUUAAUAACAAACAUAAAGGAACUCAUUGAAUAAUAAUAUAAUAAUAGUAGGUGACUUUAACACUCCAUUUAAACACCACUGGACAGAUCAUCUAAGCAGAAAAUGAACAAAGAAACAAGGGCUUUGAAUGACUCACUAGACCAGAUGGACUUAACAGAUAUAUUCAGAACAUUUCAUCCCAAAGCAACACAUUCUUUUCAAACACACAUGGAAUGUUCUCCAGAAUACAUCACAUACUAGGUUACAAAUCAGGCCUCCAGAAGUAAAAAAGAUUGAGAUCAUACCAUGAACAUUUUCUGACCACAUGAUGAAACUUGAAGUCAACCACAAGAAAAAAAAUCUUGAAAGACCACAAUUACAUAGAGGUCAAACAACAUGCUACAAAACAAUGAACAGGUCAACCAGGAAAUUAAAGAAUAAAUUUUUUAAAUACAUGGAAACAAAUGAAAAUGAAAGUGAGAUGGCCCAAGACCUCUGGGAUAUAGCAAAAGCAGUCAUAAGAGGUAAGUAUAUAGCAAUACAGACCUAUCUCAAGAAGAAAAAUCCAGGGAUCCCUGGGUGGCGCAGCGGUUUGGCGCCUGCCUUUGGCCCAGGGCGCGAUCCUGGAGACCCGGGAUAGAGUCCCACGUCGGGCUCCCAGUGCAUGGAGCCUGCUUCUCCCUCUGCCUAUGUCUCUGCAUCUCUCUCUCUCUCUCUCUCUCACUCUCUCUCUCUCUCUGUGACUAUCGUAAAUAAAUAAAAAUUAAAAAAAAAAAGAAGAAAAAUCAAAAAAAAAAAAAAAAA
This 5305-nucleotide long non-coding RNA is filed under the name Canis lupus familiaris (dog). RNAcentral's name for it is "lncRNA (ENSCAFG00000053365.1)". Lineage: Eukaryota; Metazoa; Chordata; Mammalia; Carnivora; Canidae. The record is from RNAcentral.